RNAcentral lists this ribosomal RNA (253 nucleotides) under uncultured bacterium. RNAcentral's name for it is "partial 16S ribosomal RNA". It matches the Rfam family "Bacterial small subunit ribosomal RNA", at positions 524 to 776 of the family's 1533-position model. The record is from RNAcentral.
UACGUAGGUGGCAAGCGUUGUCCGGAUUUAUUGGGCGUAAAGAGCUCGUAGGCGGCCUGUUGCGUCCGCUGUGAAAGCCCGGGGCUUAACCCCGGGUCUGCAGUGGAUACGGGCAGGCUAGAGGUAGGUAGGGGAGAAUGGAAUUCCCGGUGUAGCGGUGAAAUGCGCAGAUAUCGGGAGGAACACCGGUGGCGAAGGCGGUUCUCUGGGCCUUACCUGACGCUGAGGAGCGAAAGCGUGGGGAGCGAACAGG